This 447-nucleotide ribosomal RNA is filed under the name uncultured bacterium. Its description in RNAcentral is "bacterial SSU rRNA". It matches the Rfam family "Bacterial small subunit ribosomal RNA", at positions 330 to 792 of the family's 1533-position model. The record is from RNAcentral.
UCCAGACUCCUACGGGAGGCAGCAGUCGGGAAUAUUGCGCAAUGGAGGAAACUCUGACGCAGUGACGCCGCGUGCAGGAAGAAGGUUUUCGGAUUGUAAACCUCUUUAGACAGGGAAGAAAGAAAUGACGGUACCUGUAGAAUAAGCUCCGGCUAACUACGUGCCAGCAGCCGCGGUAAUACGUAGGGAGCAAGCGUUAUCCGGAUUUAUUGGGUUUAAAGGGUGCGCAGGCGGAGGUGCAAGUCAGCGGUCAAAUUGCGGGGCUCAACCCCGUACUGCCGUUGAAACUGCAUCCCUUGAGUGCGCGAGAAGUAUGCGGAAUGCGUGGUGUAGCGGUGAAAUGCAUAGAUAUCACGCAGAACUCCGAUUGCGAAGGCAGCAUACCGGCGCGCAACUGACGCUCAUGCACGAAAGCGUGGGUAUCGAACAGGAUUAGAUACCCCAGUA